AGCAAGACUGUUAGAGCUCUCUACCAAGUGAAAAUGAAAUCCAGACAGUCACAGCAGGAUGAGUCCCUGCUUCGAGGAGAAGUGGCAGCAGCAGUAGCAGCAGCAAAAACAACAACAACAACAAAACAACAACAAAGGCAACCACCCACCACCGCUGCUACUACCGCCAUAACAACAACCACAAAGCAAAGCAAAAGUAAAGAUGCCCGGCAAGGUGUUUUUGUGCUACUGGCUUUCUAGAAGUUCGGGGAAUUGAAAGGGGCUUAGAUCAUGUUAAUGUAAAUCAUGUAAUGC
Molecule: long non-coding RNA, 294 nt
Filed under: Fukomys damarensis (Damara mole-rat)
Lineage: Eukaryota; Metazoa; Chordata; Mammalia; Rodentia; Bathyergidae
Description: lncRNA (ENSFDAG00000025138.1)
Source: RNAcentral